RNAcentral lists this ribosomal RNA (253 nucleotides) under uncultured bacterium. RNAcentral's name for it is "partial 16S ribosomal RNA". It matches the Rfam family "Bacterial small subunit ribosomal RNA", at positions 524 to 776 of the family's 1533-position model. The record is from RNAcentral.
UACGUAAGGUGCGAGCGUUGUCCGGAAUUAUUGGGCGUAAAGCGCUUGUAGGCGGCACGUCAAGUCGCGUGUGAAAUCCCCAGGCUUAACCUGGGAAGUGCGCGCGAAACUGACGAGCUUGAGUGCCGGAGAGGGUCGCGGAAUUCCCGGUGUAGAGGUGAAAUUCGUAGAUAUCGGGAGGAACACCAGUGGCGAAGGCGGCGACCUGGACGGACACUGACGCUGAGACGCGAAAGCGUGGGGAGCAAACAGG